This is a long non-coding RNA of Pseudopipra pipra, 1153 nucleotides long. RefSeq lists it as uncharacterized. The record is from RefSeq and is a predicted model, not a curated record. The transcript is spliced from 2 exons. NCBI's taxonomy places the organism in Eukaryota, Metazoa, Chordata, Aves, Passeriformes, Pipridae.
GCCUUCAGUUGCCUUAGGUUGAAUAGGCUUCCAUCAGUACGGUAUCAAAUGUACAUACCGUCCUGGUCAUCGAGGUCUGCCGUGGCCCUUUGGAGCAUCAUGCUGAAAAAGACUGUGAAUAGAGUUGGUGCAAGAACGCAGCCUUGUUUCACACCACUGGUUAUUAGAAAGGCCUCAGAAAGUGCAUCACCAUAUCUGACUUGGCCGCACUGAUCCUCAUGAAGUGAGAUGAUCAUUUUAAGGAACUUGGGGGGACAUCCUAAACGUUCCAAAAUCUGCCAUAGACCUUUUCUGCUCACAGUAUCAAAAGCCUUGGUGAGAUCAACAAAGGUUACACAGAGACCUUUAUUCUGUUCCCUACACUCCUCUUGCAGUUAUUCAGAUGCUACCAUCAAUAAAGCUUCUUGAAUAAUCUAUAAUCAGCGAAGCUGGUAACACCAGUAAUAACCUAUGAACCUAAGACAAAACACGUGUGUACAUAAAUAACCAAGCUGUAACUUUGGCUUAGUAAACAUUACUAAGUUGCAUGGUAGCAGGACAUUUGAUAGUGGGCAAAGAUGGCAAGCUACUUUCUUAAGGACAGUCAGUGAUGUGUUGAGAUGUGAGCCAAGAGGAUGCCAUUCAGGUACCCACUCAUAAGAGAUCCUCCCUGGCCAGCAACUCCUGCACCACCUGUCAGACAGGCUGGGGUGCACUAUCCAUCCCUGUGUGUGUGUGCAGAGGACUCAACAUUGCACAUGCAGCACGUCCAGUCACCCUGCACACAGGGAGUCACUGCUCAUGCUCCAUGGCCUGACUAGGGUCCUGAGCACUGUGCAAGGCUCUGCAAACAAGUGAUCAGAAGUACUGCUCCAGCACAGCCUGGCAGUGCUGGUCAUAUUGGGAAUCAAAUUAUUCAAUUCCCUGCUCAACUGAAUUAGUAGAAGUGGAUGGUAAGUGGGGGCCCAAUGUGCAAGAAGGUACUGGUAGCUUCUUCUUUUAUAAGGGUUUGAAAGGAUCUGGAAAGACUGUUGGAUACUGCUGUGAAGAGAAUACUUUGAACACAAACACACGCAUUACAGCAAAGGUUAAAGAAACUUCAAAAUUCUGAACUAAUAAAGUAAAACUAGAAUGAUGUGCAUAUCAAUAAAGGCAAGGAAACUAUGCCCAUGUG